AACGCACAUUGCGCCCCCUGGUAUUCCGGCGGGCAUGCUUAUUUGAGCGUCAUUUCUACCCUCAAGCUCUGCUUGGCAUUGGGUGGCGGCCUCCUCACCCGGGGCCCCCCCGAAAAUUAGCGGCGAUGCGGCCGGGCUCCCAGCGCAGUGACUUUUUAUUCUCGCUGAUUGGACCCCCGGGCGACACCCGCCGGACGGACCCAAAUUCGAAUUCUUUCAAGAUUGACCUCAAAUUAAGUAGGGAUACCCGCUGAACUUAA
Molecule: unclassified non-coding RNA, 260 nt
Filed under: uncultured fungus
Lineage: Eukaryota; Fungi
Description: partial contains 5.8S ribosomal RNA, internal transcribed spacer 2, and large subunit ribosomal RNA
Source: RNAcentral